This 2902-nucleotide ribosomal RNA is filed under the name Klebsiella quasipneumoniae. RNAcentral describes it as "23S ribosomal RNA". It matches the Rfam family "Bacterial large subunit ribosomal RNA". The record is from RNAcentral. Lineage: Bacteria; Pseudomonadati; Pseudomonadota; Gammaproteobacteria; Enterobacterales; Enterobacteriaceae.
GGUUAAGCGACUAAGCGUACACGGUGGAUGCCCUGGCAGUCAGAGGCGAUGAAGGACGUGCUAAUCUGCGAAAAGCGUCGGUAAGGUGAUAUGAACCGUUAUAACCGGCGAUGUCCGAAUGGGGAAACCCAGUGUGAUUCGUCACACUAUCGUUAACUGAAUACAUAGGUUAACGAGGCGAACCGGGGGAACUGAAACAUCUAAGUACCCCGAGGAAAAGAAAUCAACCGAGAUUCCCCCAGUAGCGGCGAGCGAACGGGGAGCAGCCCAGAGUCUGAAUCAGCUUGUGUGUUAGUGGAACGGUCUGGAAAGUCCGACGGUACAGGGUGAUAGUCCCGUACACCAAAAUGCACAGGCUGUGAACUCGAAGAGUAGGGCGGGACACGUGGUAUCCUGUCUGAAUAUGGGGGGACCAUCCUCCAAGGCUAAAUACUCCUGACUGACCGAUAGUGAACCAGUACCGUGAGGGAAAGGCGAAAAGAACCCCGGCGAGGGGAGUGAAAAAGAACCUGAAACCGUGUACGUACAAGCAGUGGGAGCACCUUCGGGUGUGACUGCGUACCUUUUGUAUAAUGGGUCAGCGACUUAUAUUCUGUAGCAAGGUUAACCGUAUAGGGGAGCCGCAGGGAAACCGAGUCUUAACUGGGCGUUAAGUUGCAGGGUAUAGACCCGAAACCCGGUGAUCUAGCCAUGGGCAGGUUGAAGGUUGGGUAACACUAACUGGAGGACCGAACCGACUAAUGUUGAAAAAUUAGCGGAUGACUUGUGGCUGGGGGUGAAAGGCCAAUCAAACCGGGAGAUAGCUGGUUCUCCCCGAAAGCUAUUUAGGUAGCGCCUCGUGAACUCAUCUUCGGGGGUAGAGCACUGUUUCGGCUAGGGGGUCAUCCCGACUUACCAACCCGAUGCAAACUACGAAUACCGAAGAAUGUUAUCACGGGAGACACACGGCGGGUGCUAACGUCCGUCGUGAAGAGGGAAACAACCCAGACCGCCAGCUAAGGUCCCAAAGUCAUGGUUAAGUGGGAAACGAUGUGGGAAGGCACAGACAGCCAGGAUGUUGGCUUAGAAGCAGCCAUCAUUUAAAGAAAGCGUAAUAGCUCACUGGUCGAGUCGGCCUGCGCGGAAGAUGUAACGGGGCUAAACCAUGCACCGAAGCUGCGGCAGCGACACUAUGUGUUGUUGGGUAGGGGAGCGUUCUGUAAGCCUGCGAAGGUGACCUGUGAGGGUUGCUGGAGGUAUCAGAAGUGCGAAUGCUGACAUAAGUAACGAUAAAGCGGGUGAAAAGCCCGCUCGCCGGAAGACCAAGGGUUCCUGUCCAACGUUAAUCGGGGCAGGGUGAGUCGACCCCUAAGGCGAGGCCGAAAGGCGUAGUCGAUGGGAAACAGGUUAAUAUUCCUGUACUUGGUGUUACUGCGAAGGGGGGACGGAGAAGGCUAUGUUAGCCGGGCGACGGUUGUCCCGGUUUAAGCAUGUAGGCUGGUUAUCCAGGCAAAUCCGGAUAAUCAAGGCUGAGGUGUGAUGACGAAGCACUACGGUGCUGAAGUAACAAAUGCCCUGCUUCCAGGAAAAGCCUCUAAGCAUCAGGUAACAUCAAAUCGUACCCCAAACCGACACAGGUGGUCAGGUAGAGAAUACCAAGGCGCUUGAGAGAACUCGGGUGAAGGAACUAGGCAAAAUGGUGCCGUAACUUCGGGAGAAGGCACGCUGGUGUGUAGGUGAAGUCCCUGCGGAUGGAGCUGAGACCAGUCGAAGAUACCAGCUGGCUGCAACUGUUUAUUAAAAACACAGCACUGUGCAAACACGAAAGUGGACGUAUACGGUGUGACGCCUGCCCGGUGCCGGAAGGUUAAUUGAUGGGGUUAUCCGUAAGGAGAAGCUCUUGAUCGAAGCCCCGGUAAACGGCGGCCGUAACUAUAACGGUCCUAAGGUAGCGAAAUUCCUUGUCGGGUAAGUUCCGACCUGCACGAAUGGCGUAAUGAUGGCCAGGCUGUCUCCACCCGAGACUCAGUGAAAUUGAACUCGCUGUGAAGAUGCAGUGUACCCGCGGCAAGACGGAAAGACCCCGUGAACCUUUACUAUAGCUUGACACUGAACAUUGAGCCUUGAUGUGUAGGAUAGGUGGGAGGCUUUGAAGCGUGGACGCCAGUCUGCGUGGAGCCAACCUUGAAAUACCACCCUUUAAUGUUUGAUGUUCUAACGUUGGCCCCUUAUCGGGGUUGCGGACAGUGUCUGGUGGGUAGUUUGACUGGGGCGGUCUCCUCCCAAAGCGUAACGGAGGAGCACGAAGGUUAGCUAAUCCUGGUCGGACAUCAGGAGGUUAGUGCAAUGGCAUAAGCUAGCUUGACUGCGAGCGUGACGGCGCGAGCAGGUGCGAAAGCAGGUCAUAGUGAUCCGGUGGUUCUGAAUGGAAGGGCCAUCGCUCAACGGAUAAAAGGUACUCCGGGGAUAACAGGCUGAUACCGCCCAAGAGUUCAUAUCGACGGCGGUGUUUGGCACCUCGAUGUCGGCUCAUCACAUCCUGGGGCUGAAGUAGGUCCCAAGGGUAUGGCUGUUCGCCAUUUAAAGUGGUACGCGAGCUGGGUUUAGAACGUCGUGAGACAGUUCGGUCCCUAUCUGCCGUGGGCGCUGGAGAAUUGAGGGGGGCUGCUCCUAGUACGAGAGGACCGGAGUGGACGCAUCACUGGUGUUCGGGUUGUCAUGCCAAUGGCACUGCCCGGUAGCUAAAUGCGGAAGAGAUAAGUGCUGAAAGCAUCUAAGCACGAAACUUGCCCCGAGAUGAGUUCUCCCUGAGACUAUAAGUCUCCUGAAGGAACGUUGAAGACGACGACGUUGAUAGGCCGGGUGUGUAAGCGCAGCGAUGCGUUGAGCUAACCGGUACUAAUGAACCGUGAGGCUUAACCUU